Syzygium oleosum is the source of this 4679-nucleotide long non-coding RNA. RefSeq lists it as uncharacterized. The record is from RefSeq and is a predicted model, not a curated record. Lineage: Eukaryota; Viridiplantae; Streptophyta; Magnoliopsida; Myrtales; Myrtaceae. The transcript is spliced from 2 exons.
UGAAUACAAUCCGGUCAGCUUGUUUCCUAAAACUAGGUGUUUGGGCUUUUUGGAGGACUGAUGAUCUUUUUGCUGUCUUUUUUUGGUUGAGAUGAUGAACUUGUAGUCUUUGAUCACAUCUUAGACCGGGCCAUAAACUGAAAUUUACUGGUUUUGAUUGAAAUUUUUCGUCAGUUUUUUUAUCUUUGGGAGUUGAUUAUUGUCUAGUUCUAAUCCUCUCGCAGGUUGGUGUCUUGCCAGACUUGACAAGACAGUUAUUGGUUUGAAUGAAAUUUCUUUUCACUCCCAUAUUCCCGAUUAAUGCAAAAUCCGAUUCUCACUGCUUAGGAGGCCAGUGUUUGGUCGAUGUUGAUCUGUGAUGGCUCUUUCUUUGCAAGGUGUACGCGCCCCAACAGAUCACACUUGCCAAUCUGAAUCCAGUUCGUCUUAUUUUUAUUGAAGAUCGAAAGCUGGUAUCUCCUUCCUAGAGAGAUAGUCCUUUCCUCAUGUCCUCAUCCUUCAGUAUCAUCUUGCGUCUAUGAUUGUGCAUGCGUUCCUCUCUCAGUUGACAGACUCUGCAAAGUACUCUUUUGAGGAGACGUCAAUCCCAAAAUGCGCUGUCGAUCCUUCUUCUUUUCUUUUGUUUCUUGAUUGAUUGUUAAAUCAGUGUGAUUCUGUUUAUGCUAUGUUAUUUUCUGAAGGUUACGACUCACCUCUCAGGGAAUAUGCCAUGUUAUGGGGCAUCUUUAGGGUUUUCGUUCCUCUGAUCGGUGAUUGAUUCAUCAUUGAUUGAUUUUUCCAUUUAAUUGUAUUAUGAGCUGAUUCUAGUAUUCAAUAUUCCGUGAAUUGGCGGUGGCUUCUUUCUUCUUGGAGUGAUCUUUUUUUCUGAGGAUGUUGGAUGUUGUCUGAGGACAAUGAAUACAAUGCAACUGGUUAGUUGGUUACAUAGAAUACGACAUUUGGGCUUUUUGGUGGACCAAUGGUCUAUCUUGCGCUGUUUGGUUGGGUUGAUGAUCUAGAAUUCUUUGUCUUCAGGACAAGCGAUGGACUGAAAUUUUGUUGACCUUGUAGGCUUCUCUUACAGGUUGAAAGUUUUACUGGAUAUGACAGUUGGUGAUCUGUUGCAUUUUAUGUGGGGCUUAGUUGAUAAUUGUUUGAAAUUGGAUGAGCCCCUGCUUCUCGGAUUUUAUGCAGUUAUUUGUUUGAACAAAACUUGUCCUUUACUUCUGUUAUUUGUAGUUAAUUGGAAAGAUCAAAUUUAGUUCUCUUCCCUUCAUUCUCUUCUUCCCUAUCGUGGAACUGGGUUCAGGCAUUACCUAGUUUGCUUCUCCUUCUUUUUACACGACUUCUGCAUUUUCUUUUGGUACAGAACAAGAGGCCUUUCACGUUCUUUAUGUGCGAGAGGUUGUUUAAGUUGGUUGGACUCUGUCAAUGGCCAUAUAAAUGUCUACAUUGUAGGUUUCCUUUGGUUAUUGGGACUGUGAAGGCUUAUUGCUGACAGAAUUGGUUUUACUUCCGCAUACUGGAAGCAUCUUAUUUUGAAAUGAUGUACUUCAGAUAUCUAUUCCGAUUUGCAUUCUUAAUGUUUCUUAUUUUGUUUCUAUUUCUUAACGAAUGAUGAGCCAAUUACUUUCUUGGUCUAAUUUCAGAAGCAUCUGGCUUGUUGUAGAAGCUUAAUUUGUUCAGUUUCCUGUUGCCUCUUUGGGACUUUGCCAUGGUCAUGGACAUCAUUAGGGUUUACUCUCCUCCUUUGUCCAUUUAUUAAUUGAUUGGUUGGUCGAUUUAUUUAGUUGUCUUACGAGCAGAUUCUGGAUCUCUUAUUUAGUGGAUUGGGAGUAACUUCUUCUCUGAUGGACCGAUCUCUACUCCCGAGGAAGUCGUCUAAAAGAACAGUAAAUAUGAUGAGUUUAGUCAAUUGUUGCAUAGAAUAAGCGUUAGAGCUUUUUUUUUGGGACUGACGAUUUAUUAGCAGUAUAAUGUUGGGUUGGUGGACUAGGAGUACCGGGUGAUGAACUGCAACUUUAAUAAUUUCCUGCAUGGACACUUAUGUUUCUUUUUUAAAAUUCAUUCUUUCAUUAGUUAUCUUUGGGUAGUGGCAAGAAUUGAAAUGAUAAUUGUCUAGUUCUAAUUGCUUUAGGUUGAAGGUUUACUGAAUUUGAGAAGUGCUGAUCCAUUGCCUUUUCUGCAAGGCUGAGAGGAUGAAUUGUGGACCGGGUAUUGUUUGAAAUUGGAUAAGCUUUGAUUUAUUGGAUUCUGGGCAGUUAACGGUUCCAAUAUUAUUGACUCUAGUUCCUUUAUUUUUUAUUUAAGCAAGAGGAUCACCAUUCAGUUCUGUUUCUUUUGUAGGUCAGAAAUUGGCUAAAGCAAAGGCUUUACCUCUAACUUCAAUAUGGAGUGUUCUUUAAUCUAUAUAUGUCUUACCUUUAUGAUUGAUGGAACUAUCCUGCCUGUUAUUUAUCACAGACUUUUUCCUUUCAACGUCCUUUGUCGCACAUUCAUUUGGAAAUACGUUUCUUGCAUAUGCAUUUGUUUGACUUGGUGUUAAUGUCUGCUUGAAUUUUGUGUCAAUAUGUUAAAUUUGGUUUAUUUGAAGAAUUUUUUGUCAGGUUUCUUUUGUGUUUAUACUAGAUGAGAUUGAUGUUGUCUGGAUGGUAAUUUCUGACGCCGGAGAUGUUAUUUUGGUGUGACCUAUUGCCCCUUUUUUCUCUAUGUUAUUUGGAACUUGCAGGAUAGGUUCUUUUCCAAAAAAAAGCACUUGUUUUUCAACACUUUUUUUUGCGGUAAUAUUUACCUUUUGUCAAAUCUUUAUCAAAUGUAUAGUAUGUAGGGUUUUCACUUAUAAAGCGAUGUUGUUGGAUGGUUCAUCAAUAGAUUGAUCUUUCCAUUAAAUUGUUUAACAGAAAUAGUAUGUAGUGUUGGAUGAUUCUGGAUUUCGGUGGAUUGGCAGUUGCAUCUUUCCUCUUGGAGCGAUCUCUUCAUGAGCAUGUCGUCUAAGGAUGAUAAAUACAUAGAAGCUGGUCAGUUUCCAUAGAAUAAGGUGCUUGAGCUUCUUGGAGGAGUGGUAAUCUAUUAUGCAGUCAUUUUUGUGCUUGAGUUCUGAAGUCGUCUUUGAUCACAUCUUCAGGACGGGCAAUGGUCUGAAAUUUUGAAGAUUUCUAGGCAUUUUGUAGUUUUGAAUUAAGUUUGUCUUCAGUUGAUUAUCUUCGGGGAGCAGUGAGAUAAUUAUUGUUGAGUUCUAAUUCCUCUACAGGUUGAAGUUUUUCCCGGUUUGAGAAGGGGUGAUCUAUUGCGUUCUUCUGCGGGUUUGAGUUGAUAACUGUUUGAAAUUGGACAAGCAGCUGCUUAAUGGAUUCUAGGCAGUAAUUGGUUUGAAUGAAGUUGGUUUUCCCCUUCUGCUUUUUUCCAGUUUUGGUGAGAUGACUAGGGCCUAGUUCUCUUUCCUUCGAUGCAAAUCUCUUCUGGUUCGAUUUUGACCGUCUUCAAUCUGUGAUGGUUCUUUCUAGAUUUCAUUUAACAAGCUCUUCUUUCUUUGAGCUUCUAUUGGCUUUUGUUGUAUUUGGAAGAUGAAUAAUCAUUGACUAUCUUCCAUUGUGGGGAUUGUUUAUGAGUCUGGAAAGCUUGAGGUCCACCAAGUUCUGGCUUGUUUCUCUUUGUUCUUGUAAUGCAUGCUGCAAUCACGAAAUUGAUUCCUGGUAAAUCAUGCACAUAUUACAUGUGUAAUUUAUUCAUCUUGACUUUUUGUCCCCAUAUACUAGCUUUACACAAUUUAGAUAGCUUAGGCUUUCAUUCUAUACGAUGGAUGUGUUUUCUUUUGAUACAGAACCUUUGGUGGAACUUUUUUAUUUGUCAGGUGAUUUCUAUGCUUUAGGUGGUUGUUAAGGAGUGUUCAUGGACAUUAUUAGUGUUCACGCACCUCCUUUGAUCAUUUAUUGAUGGAUUGAUCCAUCCUUCUGUUGUUUUAGAGCUGUUUCUGGAUUUAUAAUCCUGUGGAUUGGCAGUAGCUUCCUUUCUCACGGAGAAAUCUCUUUGAUUGUGGAUGUUGUCUAAGGAAUGGUGCAUAUGAUGAGGUUGGUCAAUUAUUACUUAUAAUAAUGCGUUCGACGAUCUAUUCACUUCUAUCUUUGGUUGGGUUGGUGGAUGGGCAGUGUCCUUGAUCAUCUUCAGGACCGGGUGAAGAACUGAAAAUUUGAUAAACUUCUGCAGCGUAGGCACUUGGCCAAGUUGAUGAAUUGUGGAGGCCGGGCUUUGUUUGAAAUUGGAUAAGCUCCCAUUUCUUGGAUUUUGGUUCUUUUCAUGUGCUCACUCUCGAUAUGUAUAUGGAUCAAUCCCUAUAAAAUUGAUAUUUUGGCCGUGCUUUUAUGAUAGGGUGUGUGAGAUCUAGCUUGAUUAUGCUUUGAGGGCUUGAAGUUCGAUGUAAGAUCUCUGAUUGUCAUUGGAUGGCUUCUCUGUUGGACUUACUUGCAAAAAGAGUAUGCUAAGUCUCUUUAGGUGCAAUAAGAUAUCUGUAUGGGUUUGCUUAGCCUAUAUUCCGCUGCUGUGAUACUUUCUUCUGGUACAGUAACAUUGUUGGGGACAUUUUACAAAUGAGGUGUUUUGUAGGUGAGCUGGGUUGUUUUUAGUUUGUAGUGCCACCUUGAGGGCCUAAUUUCUGAAUAUUUUAGGUUAUUGUUUAUCGAUGGGACUAUGAAGACUUUUCUACC